Molecule: long non-coding RNA, 364 nt
Organism: Triplophysa rosa
Lineage: Eukaryota; Metazoa; Chordata; Actinopteri; Cypriniformes; Nemacheilidae
Exons: 3
Source: RefSeq, a predicted model, not a curated record
CUGUAAAUCAGACCUAAUCCUUAGAAAGUAUCAUUUGACUUCUGCUGCACAUGAUGGGCGUCACAAUGUUGGGUGUUGUGCUGAUCUUCUUGUCUGUAGGGCUGAAUAUACAGACAGCAGAGAGCUGCCGCUGUGCCCCACCUCACCCUCAACAUCAAUUCUGCACUUCUGAAAUGGUGAUUUUAGCUGACGCAACCGGAAACAGACUUCCUGUUAACGAUCAAAACAACUUAUUUCGAUAUAAAAUCAAAAUAAUCAAGGUAUUGAAAGGUUCUAACAAUGCAAGCCGAAUUCAAUACAUCUACACAGAUCCACAAACAAUGUGUGGCAUCACACUGGAUCAGGGGCGAUACGUGCUUUCAGG